GGGAUGAUAAUGACAGUACCUGGUAAAGAAACCCCGGCUAACUCCGUGCCAGCAGCCGCGGUAAUACGGAGGGGGUUAGCGUUGUUCGGAAUUACUGGGCGUAAAGCGCACGUAGGCGGAUUGGAAAGUUGGGGGUGAAAUCCCGGGGCUCAACCCCGGAACUGCCUUCCAAACUCCCAGUCUAGAGUUCGAGAGAGGUGAGUGGAAUUCCGAGUGUAGAGGUGAAAUUCGUAUAUAUUCGGAAGAACACCAUUGGCGAAGGCGGCUCACUGGAUCGAUACUGACGCUGA
RNAcentral lists this ribosomal RNA (290 nucleotides) under uncultured bacterium. RNAcentral's name for it is "partial 16S ribosomal RNA". It matches the Rfam family "Bacterial small subunit ribosomal RNA", at positions 442 to 749 of the family's 1533-position model. The record is from RNAcentral.